Regulatory RNA element from Mesorhizobium sp., 64 nucleotides. It matches the Rfam family "ybhL leader". From Rfam's summary of the family: This family is a putative regulatory RNA structure that is found upstream of an uncharacterized membrane protein in alpha-proteobacteria. NCBI's taxonomy places the organism in Bacteria, Pseudomonadati, Pseudomonadota, Alphaproteobacteria, Hyphomicrobiales, Phyllobacteriaceae. The record is from Rfam.
CAGGCAUGCUGGAGCCCCGCCAGCGGCGCCUGGCUGAAGAGGCCUGUCACCGGACGGGGCAGAA